Long non-coding RNA from Amphiprion ocellaris (clown anemonefish), 1208 nucleotides. RefSeq lists it as uncharacterized. The record is from RefSeq and is a predicted model, not a curated record. Lineage: Eukaryota; Metazoa; Chordata; Actinopteri; Pomacentridae. The transcript has 3 exons.
CUUGGUUGUUUGUUUGUAAUGACAGACUGAAACCUGUGAAAUGCCACUGACCCCUCAACCUACACCUACAUGUCAGUCAAACUCCAAACCUUUGAACAAGAAUGUCACGAUGAUCUCCAGGUUUCCCAGAGACGAUGGGUUGAGGAGGAAGUGGAAGUUUGUCGGCUUAGACCUGGUGUCAUUCCAUCAGUGUUAAACUUCCCGGCUCAUCUUGGAAGAGUACGUGCCAGAAAGACCACGACCAAGCAGCCUUGAGAUCUUAGGCAGCAUCUCCCUCAGGUCCCUCUCUAUCUCCCCACACAUCCACCAACCACUGGAACACAUCUCCAAAGUUCUGCCGGGCCAGCUCAGCUUCCCCUCAGAAGAAGUGCCGCCACCUGCCAGAUGAAGGAGCCUUUUGAGAGGCAGCUGGCAUCGUGAUUGGACUGUACUUUGGUCUGUUCCAGUCCAGCUUCAGCUCCAGAGACGGCAGGCAGGACGAGUCAACGGAGGCCGGGUGGACGAAGGCAUGCAGCUGAGUACAAUCCAGAAAACAACAGAGGAGGAGUUCAGGGCCAGAACAAGCAGAGUAGCAUUGUAUGUCUCUUAGAAAACAUCAUAGUAUAGCCUUUGGUAUGAAAAAACGCCAUCAUAUACAUCGUAUAUUGUAGAAAUAACAAGUUAAAGCAAAGAGACAUACAUUGUAGAAUUGUAGUAAUUGUGGGCUGACUGAUUUACUGAUUAUCAGUAUUUUACUUUUUACUGAUUUACGGUAAUAAAUACAUUUUAAAAUGGUGCUACUUUGGCUCUGAACCUUUAUCUACCUGUGGUCGCUCUGUCUUCUGGAUUGAUUUGAUUGGUUAUACGUCACAAAUAAAACUCCUUUAACUUAACAUCUGUAAACAAAACAAAAACGUAUCAACAAAGUUUUCUGUUAGAGUUUGUGUUCUUCUAAGUUUAACUCAAGAUUUUAAAUACUUUCAUUUACUGCAAAUGAAUAUCUACUCCAAAUGUCUCACAAAUAAUCAUUAUCAGCCUUAAAAACCCACAAAACACCCCUCUAUACUCGACACUUAGUACAGUCUGGUUCCCCCUUCUAUAAAUCUGCUUGGAAUCUUCCACUUCCUGUUUGUCAAAGUGGCCUUCUACCUGGACAGGUUUUGUUGGAGCUCAUGCAACAAACAUUUUGGGUAACUGCACUUUAAUAUGGAUGGAUGACACUGAAUUAG